UACGUAGGGAGCAAGCGUUGUUCGGAUUUACUGGGCGUAAAGGGCGCGUAGGCGGCAAUUCAAGUCAUCUGUGAAAUCUCCGGGCUUAACUCGGAACGGUCAGAUGAUACUGCUUUGCUAGAGUGCAGAAGGGGCAAUCGGAAUUCUCGGUGUAGCGGUGAAAUGCGUAGAUAUCGAGAGGAACACCUGCGGCGAAGGCGGGUUGCUGGGCUGACACUGACGCUGAUGCGCGAAAGCUAGGGGAGCGAACGGG
This 253-nucleotide ribosomal RNA is filed under the name uncultured bacterium. RNAcentral's name for it is "partial 16S ribosomal RNA". It matches the Rfam family "Bacterial small subunit ribosomal RNA", at positions 524 to 776 of the family's 1533-position model. The record is from RNAcentral.